RNAcentral lists this microRNA precursor (161 nucleotides) under Podarcis lilfordi (Lilford's wall lizard). Lineage: Eukaryota; Metazoa; Chordata; Lepidosauria; Squamata; Lacertidae. The record is from RNAcentral.
AUUUAGCGAGCUGAGUGGGGAGGAGAGAGGGACAGAGAGCCUGCUUGCCUUAAAGGAACCAACCGGACACGAGUGUAAGCGGCUCCUCUCCUCUCCCGCUUUGCUCCUUUAAAGAAGCAGACUCUCUGUCCCUCUCUCCUCCCCACUCAGCGGCUCUUCUC